UACGAAGGGGGCUAGCGUUGUUCGGAAUUACUGGGCGUAAAGCGUGCGCAGGCGGCUUCUCAAGUCAGGGGUGAAAGCCCAGAGCUCAACUCUGGAAUUGCCUUUGAAACUAGAGGACUUGAGUACGGGAGAGGUGAGUGGAAUUCCGAGUGUAGAGGUGAAAUUCGUAGAUAUUCGGAAGAACACCAGUGGCGAAGGCGGCUCACUGGCCCGUUACUGACG
This 222-nucleotide ribosomal RNA is filed under the name uncultured bacterium. RNAcentral's name for it is "partial 16S ribosomal RNA". It matches the Rfam family "Bacterial small subunit ribosomal RNA", at positions 524 to 745 of the family's 1533-position model. The record is from RNAcentral.